ACUCCUACGGGAGGCAGCAGUGGGGAAUAUUGCACAAUGGGCGCAAGCCUGAUGCAGCAACGCCGUGUGAGUGAAGAAGGUUUUCGGAUCGUAAAACUCUGUCCUAAGGGAAGAAACAAAUGACGGUACCUUAGGAGGAAGCCCCGGCUAACUACGUGCCAGCAGCCGCGGUAAUACGUAGGGGGCAAGCGUUAUCCGGAAUCACUGGGGCGUAAAGGGUGCGUAGGCGGCUUAGCAAGCCAGGGGUGAAAGGCAUUGGCUCAACCAAUGUAAGCCUUUGGAACUGUUAAGCUUGAGUGCAGGAGAGGUAAGUGGAAUUCCUAGUGUAGAGGUGAAAUUCGUAGAUAUUAGGAGGAACACCAGUGGCGAAGGCGACUUACUGGACUGUAACUGACGCUGAUGCACGAAAGCGUGGGUAGCGAACAGGAUUAGAUACCCUGGUAGCUACGAG
This 451-nucleotide ribosomal RNA is filed under the name uncultured bacterium. RNAcentral describes it as "bacterial SSU rRNA". It matches the Rfam family "Bacterial small subunit ribosomal RNA", at positions 335 to 801 of the family's 1533-position model. The record is from RNAcentral.